Molecule: ribosomal RNA, 465 nt
Filed under: uncultured bacterium
Lineage: Bacteria
Description: partial 16S ribosomal RNA
Rfam family: Bacterial small subunit ribosomal RNA
Source: RNAcentral
GACGAACGCUGGCGGCGUGCUUAACACAUGCAAGUCGAACGGAAAGGCCCCUUUGGGGGUACUCGAGUGGCGAACGGGUGGGUAACACGUGAGUAACCUGCCCUUGACUUCGGGAUAACUUCAGGAAACUGGGGCUAAUACCGGAUAGGAAUCCUUGCUGCAUGGUGGGGGUGGGAAAGCUUCGGCGGUUUUGGAUGGACUCGCGGCUUAUCAGCUUGUUGGUGGGGUAGUGGCUUACCAAGGCUUUGACGGGUAGCCGGCCUGAGAGGGCGACCGGCCACAUUGGGGCUGGGAUACGGCCCAGACUCCUACGGGGGGCAACAGUGGGGAAUAUUGCCCAAUGGGCGGAAGCCUGAUGCAGCAACGCCGCGGGCGGGAUGACGGCCUUCGGGUUGUAAACCGGUUUCAGCAGGGGCGAAGCUUGUGGUGACGGUACCUGCAGAAGAAGCACCGGCUAACUACGUG